RNAcentral lists this ribosomal RNA (497 nucleotides) under uncultured bacterium. Its description in RNAcentral is "partial 16S ribosomal RNA". It matches the Rfam family "Bacterial small subunit ribosomal RNA", at positions 29 to 507 of the family's 1533-position model. The record is from RNAcentral.
AGUGAACGCUGGCGGCAUGCCUAAUACAUGCAAGUCGAACGGCAGCACAGUAAGAUCUCGCCCUUACGGUUGGCGGGUGGCGGACGGGUGAGGCAUACAUCGGCUUCCACUAUUUCGUGGGUAACAUCGUAGAAAAACUGACGCUAAUACCUCAUACGACCUACGGCUGAAAGCAGGAGAGCAUGGCACCUUGCCCGUUUCUUAUAGCCGAAUCCGGGUCGCAUUAGCUAGUUGGUAAGGUAACGGCCUACCAAGGCGACGAUGCGUAGCCGAUCUGAGAGGAUGAUCAGCCACACUGGAACUGAGACACGGUCCAGACUCCUACGGGAGGCAGCAGUGGGGAAUAUUGGACAAUGGGCGAAAGCCUGACGCAGCAAUACCGCGUGGGUGAAGAAGGCCUUCGGGUUGUAAAGCUCUUUUGUUAGGAAAGAAAAGCAGCGGGAUUAUACAUCGCUGUUCUGACGGUACCCAAAGAAAAAGCACCGGCUAACUUCGUG